AUGCACCACUUCCAAUUGAAAAA
RNAcentral lists this small nuclear RNA (23 nucleotides) under Arabidopsis thaliana (thale cress). Its description in RNAcentral is "snRNA_17664". The record is from RNAcentral. Lineage: Eukaryota; Viridiplantae; Streptophyta; Magnoliopsida; Brassicales; Brassicaceae.